UGGGGAAUAUUGCACAAUGGGCGCAAGCCUGAUGCAGCCAUGCCGCGUGUAUGAAGAAGGCCUUCGGGUUGUAAAGUACUUUCAGCGGGGAGGAAGGCGAUGUGGUUAAUAACCGCGUCGAUUGACGUUACCCGCAGAAGAAGCACCGGCUAACUCCGUGCCAGCAGCCGCGGUAAUACGGAGGGUGCAAGCGUUAAUCGGAAUUACUGGGCGUAAAGCGCACGCAGGCGGUCUGUUAAGUCAGAUGUGAAAUCCCCGGGCUUAACCUGGGAACUGCAUUUGAAACUGGCAGGCUUGAGUCUCGUAGAGGGGGGUAGAAUUCCAGGUGUAGCGGUGAAAUGCGUAGAGAUCUGGAGGAAUACCGGUGGCGAAGGCGGCCCCCCUGGACGAAGACUGACGCUCAGGUGCGAAAGCGUGGGGAGCAAACAGAUUGGAUACCCUGGUAGUCCACGCCGUAAAACGAUGUCGACUUGGAGGUUGUUCCCUUGAGGAGUGGCUUCCGGAGCUAACGCGUUAAGUCGACCG
RNAcentral lists this ribosomal RNA (525 nucleotides) under uncultured bacterium. Its description in RNAcentral is "partial 16S ribosomal RNA". It matches the Rfam family "Bacterial small subunit ribosomal RNA", at positions 355 to 871 of the family's 1533-position model. The record is from RNAcentral.